RNAcentral lists this transfer RNA (74 nucleotides) under Pseudomonadota bacterium. Its description in RNAcentral is "tRNA-Cys". It matches the Rfam family "tRNA". Rfam says of the family: Transfer RNA (tRNA) molecules are approximately 80 nucleotides in length. The record is from RNAcentral. RNAcentral also lists the same sequence under 2 other names. Lineage: Bacteria; Pseudomonadati; Pseudomonadota.
GGCGACGUAGCCAAGCGGCCUAAGGCGGCGGUUUGCAAAACCGCUAUUCCCCGGUUCAAAUCCGGGCGUCGCCU